GGGCAUUUGGUCUAGUGGUAUGAUUCUCUCUUUGGGUGCGAGAGGUCCCGAUUUCGAUUCUCGGAAUGCCCC
Non-coding RNA from Picea glauca (white spruce), 72 nucleotides. The record is from Rfam. NCBI's taxonomy places the organism in Eukaryota, Viridiplantae, Streptophyta, Pinopsida, Pinales, Pinaceae.